AGUAGUUUGAUCCUGGCUCAGGAUGAACGCUAGCUACAGGCUUAACACAUGCAAGUCGGAGGGGCAGCAUGUCGGUUGCUUGCAACCGAUGAUGGCGACCGGCGCACGGGGUGAGUAACGCGUAUCCAACCUUCCCCAUAGUAGAGAAUAGCCCGGCGAAAGUCGGAUUAAUACUCUAUGUUGUAUUUUGAGGACAUCUGACGAAUACCAAAGAUUUAUCGCUAAGGGAUGGGGAUGCGUCUGAUUAGCUUGUUGGCGGGGUAACGGCCCACCAAGGCGACGAUCAGUAGGGGUUCUGAGAGGAAGGUCCCCCACAUUGGUACUGAGACACGGACCAAACUCC
Molecule: ribosomal RNA, 343 nt
Filed under: uncultured Prevotella sp.
Lineage: Bacteria; Pseudomonadati; Bacteroidota; Bacteroidia; Bacteroidales; Prevotellaceae
Description: bacterial SSU rRNA
Rfam family: Bacterial small subunit ribosomal RNA
Source: RNAcentral